This is a small nuclear RNA of Pogoniulus pusillus (Red-fronted tinkerbird), 164 nucleotides long. RefSeq annotates it as U1 spliceosomal RNA. NCBI's taxonomy places the organism in Eukaryota, Metazoa, Chordata, Aves, Piciformes, Lybiidae. The record is from RefSeq and is a predicted model, not a curated record. The transcript has a single exon.
GCUCUUCCCUGGCAGAGGAGACACCAUGACCAGGCAGGUGGUUUUCCCAGGGCAAGGCUCCUGCUUUGCACUCCAGGUGUGCUGACCCCUGCGGUUUCCUCAAAUGCAGAAUUUGUGGUAGUGGGGGACUGUGUCAUGACAAGAACUGGGUUUCACAGCCCCUG